This 468-nucleotide ribosomal RNA is filed under the name uncultured bacterium. Its description in RNAcentral is "partial 16S ribosomal RNA". It matches the Rfam family "Bacterial small subunit ribosomal RNA", at positions 28 to 507 of the family's 1533-position model. The record is from RNAcentral.
GACGAACGCUGGCGGCGUGCUUAACACAUGCCAGUCGAACGGAAAGGCCCUGCUUUUGUGGGGUGCUCGAGUGGCGAACGGGUGAGUAACACGUGAGUAACCUGCCCUUGACUUUGGGAUAACUUCAGGAAACUGGGGCUAAUACCGGAUAGGAGCUCCUGCUGCAUGGUGGGGGUUGGAAAGUUUCGGCGGUUGGGGUUGGACUCGCGGCUUAUCAGCUUGUUGGUGGGGUAGUGGCUUACCAAGGCUUUGACGGGUAGCCGGCCUGAGAGGGUGACCGGCCACAUUGGGACUGAGAUACGGCGCAGACUCCUACGGGAGGCAGCAGUGGGGAAUAUUGCACAAUGGGCGGAAGCCUGAUGCAGCAACGCCGCGUGCGGGAUGACGGCCUUCGGGUUGUAAACCGCUUUCGCCUGUGACGAAGCGUGAGUGACGGUAAUGGGUAAAGAAGCACCGGCUAACUACGUG